CAGGGCUCACUCGCGGGCUGCGUGGGGCUCACCGAGCCCGGGAACGCAGGUUUCGGGGGGGUGGGAACGCGCAGCCCUGGGGCCGGGGCGGCUGCGUGCGGAGAUGGCGGCGCGAUGGAGCAGCGAGAACGUGGUGGUAGAGUUCCGCGACUCCCAGGCAACUGCAAUGUCCGUGGACUGUCUGGGGCAGCAUGCUGUGCUCUCCGGCCGCCGAUUCUUAUACAUCGUUAAUCUAGAUGCCCCUUUCGAAGGUCACCGAAAGAUCUCUCGCCAGAGCAAGUGGGACAUCGGAGCUGUGCAGUGGAAUCCUCAUGACAGCUUUGCGCACUAUUUUGCAGCUUCGAGUAACCAACGGGUUGACCUUUAUAAGUGGAAAGAUGGCAGCGGGGAAGUUGGCACUACCUUACAAGGCCACACUCGUGUAAUCAGUGACUUGGAUUGGGCAGUGUUUGAGCCGGAUCUCCUGGUUACCAGCUCUGUGGACACCUACAUCUACAUUUGGGAUAUCAAAGACACAAGGAAGCCUACCGUUGCGCUCUCUGCUGUAGCGGGUGCCUCACAGGUCAAAUGGAAUAAAAAAAAUGCUAAUUGCCUCGCCACCAGUCAUGAUGGGGACGUGCGGAUAUGGGACAAGCGGAAACCCAGCACCGCAGUGGAGUACCUCGCAGCCCACCUCUCCAAAAUCCAUGGCCUGGACUGGCACCCAGACAUCGAGCACAUUCUUGCUACCUCCAGCCAAGACAACUCUGUCAAGUUCUGGGACUACCGCCAGCCUCGGAAAUACCUCAGUAUUCUCCCUUGCCAGGUGCCCGUCUGGAAGGCCAGAUACACGCCUUUCAGCAAUGGACUGGUGACUGUGAUGGUUCCCCAGCUGCGGAGGGAAAAUAGUCUUCUCCUGUGGAACGUCUUUGACUUGAACACGCCAGUGCAUACCUUUGUGGGGCACGAUGAUGUGGUGCUGGAGUUCCAGUGGAGGAGACAGAAGGAGGGGUCCAAGGACUACCAACUGGUCACGUGGUCACGGGAUCAGACCUUGAGAAUGUGGCGGGUGGAUUCCCAGAUGCAGAGGCUUUGUGCAAAUGACAUAUUAGAUGGUGUUGAUGAGUUCAUUGAGAGCAUUUCUCUUCUGCCGGAACCAGAGAAGACCCUUCACACUCAAGAUACGGAUCACCAGCACAACUCGAGCCAUGGGGAGGAAGAAGUCUUAAAGGAAGACCCCCCAAGCAGUAUCCUGGAAGAGAAGAAGUCAGAUCAGCUGGGACUGCCUCAGACUCUGCAGCAGGAGUUCUCCCUGAUCAACGUGCAGAUCCGGAAUGUCAACGUGGAGAUGGAUGCGGCGGACAGGAGCUGCACGGUGUCUGUGCACUGCAGCAGCCACCGCGUCAAGAUGCUGGUCAAGUUCCCCGCGCAGUAUCCCAACAACGCUGCCCCCUCGUUCCAGUUUAUCAACCCCACCACCAUCACGUCCACGAUGAAAGCCAAGCUGCUGAAGAUCCUGAAAGACACUUCCCUGCAAAAAGUGAAGCGCAACCAGAGUUGUUUGGAGCCCUGCCUGCGCCAGCUCGUCUCCUGCCUUGAGUCUUUUGUGAACCAAGAAGACAGCACUUCCAGCAACCCCUUUGCACUCCCAAACUCCGUCACUCCGCCCUUACCAACGUUUGCCCGGGUGACCACUGCCUAUGGGUCAUACCAAGAUGCCAACAUUCCCUUCCCUAGGACCUCGGGGGCCAGGUUCUGUGGAGCAGGCUAUCUGGUGUAUUUCACGCGGCCUAUGACGAUGCAUCGAGCAGUGUCUCCGACAGAACCUACUCCGAGGUCUCUGUCAGCCUUGUCUGCUUAUCAUACUGGCUUGAUUGCGCCAAUGAAGAUCCGCACAGAGGCCCCUGGCAACCUUCGUUUAUACAGUGGGAGCCCCACUCGAAGUGAGAAAGAGCAGGUCUCCAUCAGCUCCUUCUACUACAAGGAGCGGAUGUCUCCUCGCUCUGCCCGGCGACGUUGGUCCAUACAAGCAAUUAACGACUUCCCGAAAUCCAGGAGAUGGAAAAGCAAGCGUGAGGGAUCGGACUCCGGCAAUCGACCCAUCAAGGCUGCUGGGAAGGUUAUCAUCCAGGACACUGCGUGCCUUCUUCCUGUUCACAAGUCACUGGGAGAACUGUACAUAUUGAAUGUGAAUGAUAUUCAAGAAACGUGUCAGAAGAAUGCCACUUCGGCCUUGCUCGUGGGAAGGAAGGACCUUGUCCAGGUUUGGUCGCUGGCUACAGUCGCUACAGAUCUUUGCCUUGGCCCGAAGUCUGACCCAGAUUUGGAAACGCCCUGGGCUCGACAUCCAUUCGGGCGACAGCUGCUGGAAUCCUUGUUGGCUCAUUACUGCCGACUCCGGGACGUCCAGACACUGGCCAUGCUGUGCAGUGUGUUUGAAGCCCAGUCUCGGCCUCAGGGAAUACCAAACCCCUUCGGACCCUUUCCCGGCCGGUCCUCUAACCUCGUGGUGUCCCACAGCCGAUAUCCUAGCUUUACUUCCUCGGGCUCCUGCUCCAGCAUGUCGGACCCAGGGCUCAACACUGGUGGCUGGAACAUAGCGGGAAGGGAGGCAGAACAUGUAUCUUCACCUUGGGGAGAGUCUUCUCCAGAAGAAAUCCGCUUUGGGAGUCUUACCUACAGUGAUCCUCGUGAGCGAGAACGUGACCAGCAUGAUAAAAAUAAAAGGCUUCUGGACCCUGCCAAUACCCAGCAAUUUGAUGACUUUAAGAAGUGCUAUGGAGAAAUCCUCUAUCGCUGGGGGCUGAGAGAGAAACGAGCCGAGGUGCUGAAGUUUGUCUCCUGUCCUCCUGAUCCUCACAAAGGGAUCGGCACAGAGCACCGUGAUGUAAGAGAAGCCUAGAUUGUGUGCAGUGUGAGAGCAGAGGUAUAUAGCCUGGGCUCUGACCAAGGUCAGAUGCCGGCAUCUCCGCAGACUGAGCUGAGAAACGAGGUGCAACAGGGGAGCAGGAAGAUGGUGGCACAUUGGGAGGACCCUAGGCUCACCUUGUCCCACGAACACAAUUAGAUAAAUAUCAAGUCAUCCUAAAUACCCCAGAAACCGACCUGAAGACUGACAGAACAAACUCCACAACUAAAGGUAGAGAAGAGGACACACUGAAGAAGGCUUGACCUGCAGACCAACUGGGAACACCCAUGGUUUGAAGAUCUCACUUGAGAAAUAACUAACUGCUGUAGAAGAUGGGGAGCCAUCAAGGAGAGUUAAACGGGAGAGUGACAGAUGUCAAAGAAGAACUUCCCGUUUGCAGCAACACUACCUAGGAAAUAUCAGAACUGGUACGGCCACGGGCCAGGGGUUCUGGUCUGGACAGGAGAGGGUAGACUUCCCUCUCCCUGCUCUUCCCCGCAAAGUACAGCUCUUAACUCUGGAAACAAUGCAGGAGACGACCAGAGAACUCUGCAAGGUGGAAAAAGAAAGGCGAGCUGGUAAAGACACCAGGGCUAGGGGAACGACAUAGAGGGAGGACGUUUUACAACCCCUCACCCAACUGAAGGAAGCGACCUGCACCCCGCCUUUUCCAGCCGCCACCCGAGCAGUAGAAGGCAGCCCAGGUGGAACAAGAGCUCUGCCAACACCAGGUGAGGCAGUAGCCCCAGCAAAAGAUCGGUUGGGAACUCGCUGACACCGAGCAGUCCCCCCCCGAGGCACCAGGUGGCUGGAGACUCCGGCAGAGGAAUCUCAACAUGACCAGCACCUGGUUCAGGAACUCUCUUUGUUCACGUGCCUGCAGAGACCAGAGAGUCGGCCUGGAAUACUCCUUUGGUCCCCCCAGGCAGCACCGGCUGGGACCAGCGGAGCCCCAGUGGCGCCAGAUAAAUUAAGCACCCUAAAAUAAUAGCACAGAGUCUCUGAAAAUUAAAUUGUCAUUGGAACCACAGUCCAGAAAAGUAGGACAGGCCCACCUAGAAACCUUAAACGUGAACAGGGUGACUGCUUGCUAAAACAUAAGACUUAAAUAGGACCCAGAGCCUCCUAACAGACUAGCCGAAAUGUCCGGGAUACAAUAGAAAAUCAUCUGUCACACCAAGAGCCAGGCUGACACGACUCAAAUAGAAAAGACAGUCAACUGACCCAACACAGCAAUGA
Felis catus (domestic cat) is the source of this 4126-nucleotide RNA transcript. It is a transcript of the gene named WD repeat domain 59, with no coding region annotated. The record is from RefSeq and is a predicted model, not a curated record. Lineage: Eukaryota; Metazoa; Chordata; Mammalia; Carnivora; Felidae. The transcript is spliced from 30 exons.